AACGAACGCUGGCGGCAUGCCUAACACAUGCAAGUCGAACGAGACCUUCGGGUCUAGUGGCGCACGGGUUCGUAACGCGUGGGAACCUGCCCUUAGACUCGCAAUAUCUCGCCGAAAGGGGUGCUAAUACCGGAUAAUGUCGUCGGACCAAAGAUUUAUCGCCUUUGGAUGGGCCUGCGUUGGAUUAGCUAGUUGGUAGGGUAAAAGCCUACCAAGGCAACGAUCCAUAGCUGGUCUGAGAGGAUGAUCAGCCACACUGGGACUGAGACACGGCCCAGACUCCUACGGGAGGCAGCAGUGGGGAAUAUUGGACAAUGGGCGAAAGCCUGAUCCAGCAAUGCCGGGUGAGUGAUGAAGGCCUUAGGGUUGUAAAGCUCUUUUACCCGGGAUGAUAAUGACAGUACCGGGAGAAUAAGCUCCGGCUAACUCCGUG
RNAcentral lists this ribosomal RNA (433 nucleotides) under uncultured bacterium. RNAcentral's name for it is "partial 16S ribosomal RNA". It matches the Rfam family "Bacterial small subunit ribosomal RNA", at positions 29 to 507 of the family's 1533-position model. The record is from RNAcentral.